Molecule: long non-coding RNA, 1979 nt
Organism: Physella acuta
Lineage: Eukaryota; Metazoa; Mollusca; Gastropoda; Physidae
Source: RefSeq, a predicted model, not a curated record
CGGGGGUCCGAAAGCAUGAGUUACUAUGGGUUAUAUCACCAAUGGGUCAGCGGCAUGUCCCCCCUCCGAUGUGUUGGCCAGGAAACCCCAUUCGGAGGUUCGCAAGAUUGGUCUAGCCAGCCAGUGGCGGGGGCUGAUGGGUGGGCGAGUAGUGGUUGUAUCACACCGGUGGGCCCAUGCAGGAGCCAGUCUUCAGGAGCCAGUCUACAGGAUCCAGUCUACAGGAGGCUGCAUACAGGAGGCUGCAUACAGGAGGCUGCAUACAGGAGCAAGUCUACAGGAGCCAGUCUACAGGAGCAAGUUAGCUGUUGAUGUUAGGUGGAUGGUUAAGUUAGCUGUUGAUGUUACUAAUAAAAUUCUCUCCCUUUUCUCCCAGGUAUUUAGGUCUCCGGCACUAACAGGGCUACCAUUCCUCCUCUGAGGGUAGCACUGCCCGAUGAGGGGGAUGAAGUGGUUCGACUUGUAAUGGAGAAUCCCAGCACAUUCCCACGCUGUGAAACCUUACACUCGGUAGUGCUGCCGUGGGUAGGGGGAGCAGCGGGGGCCUCAUAAUGCGAGCGGUGUCUGGGCAUUGUUAACUAAUCAAUUCCAUUUCUUUUUUUUCCCAUGCAGCUUGUUAUUGUCAACUAAUUCCAUUUCUAUUUCUAGCACAGCCUGUCAUUGUUAACUAAUUCCAUUUCAUUUUUUGUUUUCUAGCAGCUUGUUCUCCACACAGACGGGGCUACCAGUCCCUUCCCGAUGGUAGCGCUGCCUGAAGGUGGGGAGGAAGUGGUUCGACUUGUGUUCGGAGACCGACACUUUCCCAAACUGUAAUGAUCCAAUGCACCUGGUAGCGAUGCCUUGUGUAGGGGGGAGCAGGGAGGGCACUCGAGACGGUCGAGUGGUGUUCGGGAUCAAGCUAAUAUAAUUCCAUGUUUUCUUCUCUUCCCUAGCCAGGUCAAAUCAAGUCAAGAGGAGCCGAAGCUGUCUGGACAGGCAAGUUGACCAUUGCAUCUUUUUUUAUAGCCUUUCUUGAUAUAAUGUAUAGAACUUAAACAGCUUAAAAUUUGGGCUGUCCAACUCACAUAUAGCUAGCAAGGGUCUUUUUUGGCUGAAAUUCUUGUUCAUUUUUUUAACUUGCCUUCAUAUACAUGAAAUGUAAUGCGCACUACUGGCCCCUAUGGGCCUAUUGUGAGGAUAUGUGAAAGACAUAGGAUAAUGUACCUUGAAUAGUCUACCAUCUUUGAUGUGGGGCUGCCAAUCUGUCAAUGCAAUGAUUUUCUUAUAGGUAUGUAUAUUUGGUGUACAUUUGUCAUUUUACAAUUUUACAAUUUAACAUGUUAUGUUAUUUUUGCGUUUGAAAUUUUUGUUCAGAAGCCAUAUUUUAUUUUUCUGUUUUCAGAAAGAUCAUGGGAUGUGUGCAUAACACAUGUAUGAUGUUUAUCACAGGUUAAACUGGUCAGAACAACUACAGGAGAUAGUUAAGCAUUGUGUUUAGAGGUAAAGAUGGAGACAAGGGAAGAAACUUUGCUUCGCCAAGGGAAACAAUUGUUUUCAAGACAGGUAUGUCGGAAAUAGCAUUUUAAAUUAUCUGACAUGUGGGCUAUGUUUAAAAAAGUAUGUCUUUGUAUUUUAUUUUUGCACUUGCUACUAAUUUUAAUCUUUUUAUUUCAGGAGCCAUGGAGAUCACCAGGUACCAAAAAUCCACUAUUUUGUGUUUUGUUUACAUUCAGAUUGUGUGUCUUGAAUUUUUGUUUCAGCCAUCACUGACCCAAAGUUUUCCCAUGUGAAUAGUGGAACAUCCUCCAGUCAUGUAUAAAUGGCAGUGUGUGAAACAGUGGCACAGUUCUGUCUUCAUUGAAAACUUACACAAGUGUUAUAAUCUACCACAAUUUUGCCUACCUGUAUGUAAAAGUUGCAUCAAAUAUUCUUCUAGUUGGUUGUUCCACGUUUCCAGUGAAUUAGACAGUUGCCAAGCUGGUGGAAAACAGUGGUGCAAA